UUUUCUUUGAGUCGCGUUGUUUGGGAAUGCAGCGCAAAGUAGGUGGUAAAUUCCAUCUAAAGCUAAAUAUUGGUGCGAGACCGAUAGCGAACAAGUACCGUGAGGGAAAGAUGAAAAGAACUUUGAAAAGAGAGUUAAAGAGUACCUGAAACUGCUGAAAGGGAACCGAAUCGUUUCCAGUGUCUAUAAUCUGCGGCAUAUUUCACGCGCGAGUGCGUGCGUUUCGGGUGCGUGGCAGCGGUCUUUUUUGGCUGCGCCCGCUGCUGUUUGUGCGUGCGCUUGGCCGUGCCCUGUGCCGCGGUGGGACGUCAAGGUCAGUUCGUAUGCUGCGGGAAAUGGCCGUCGGGGAGGUAGGUCUUAAGCUCCGCUUUUGGCUGUUAUAUCUCGGCGGUUGAGUCGUCGCGGUUGGGACUGAGGUGCCUACAACGUGCUUUUGAGCGCGCGCGCGUCUCUGUGCGCGCGGUCUGCGGAUAGCUUGCUAUGCGUGGGUCGCUGCGUGCGGAUGGAUGUGCGCUGCUGCUUUUUGCCGUUCGGGACUUUGACGAAAUGGCGCGAUCCGACCCGUCUUGAAACACGGACCAAGGAGUCUAACACGCGUGCAAGUGUUCUGGUGUGGAAACCAGAGCGCGCAAUGAAAGUGAAGGGCGCCUUACGGCGUCUGAGGUAGGAAACCCUGUCUUCGGGCGGGGUGGCACUAUCGACCGAUCAUGAGCCCUCGUGGCGAAAGAUUUGAGUUUGAGCACGUGUGUUGGUACCCGAAAGAUGGUGAACUAUGCCUGAGUAGGGUGAAGCCAGGGGAAACUCUGGUGGAAGCUCGUAGCGAUUCUGACGUGCAAAUCGAUCGUCAAACUUGGGUAUAGGGGCGAAAGACUAAUCGAACCAUCUAGUAGCUGGUUCCCUCCGAAAUUUCCCUCAGGAUAGCAGCAACUUAUUUACGAUA
RNAcentral lists this ribosomal RNA (940 nucleotides) under Halophytophthora sp. RNAcentral describes it as "partial large subunit ribosomal RNA". It matches the Rfam family "Eukaryotic large subunit ribosomal RNA", at positions 254 to 1000 of the family's 3401-position model. Lineage: Eukaryota; Oomycota; Peronosporomycetes; Peronosporales; Peronosporaceae. The record is from RNAcentral.